UACGGAGGAUGCAAGCGUUAUCCGGAAUGAUUGGGCGUAAAGCGUCCGCAGGUGGCUAUGUAAGUCUGCUGUUAAAGAGUGAGGCUCAACCUCAUAAGAGCAGUGGAAACUACAUGGCUAGAGUGCGUUCGGGGCAGAGGGAAUUCCUGGUGUAGCGGUGAAAUGCGUAGAGAUCAGGAAGAACACCGGUGGCGAAAGCGCUCUGCUGGGCCGCAACUGACACUCAUGGACGAAAGCUAGGGGAGCGAAUGGG
Molecule: ribosomal RNA, 253 nt
Filed under: uncultured bacterium
Lineage: Bacteria
Description: partial 16S ribosomal RNA
Rfam family: Bacterial small subunit ribosomal RNA
Source: RNAcentral